Molecule: unclassified non-coding RNA, 729 nt
Filed under: Hevea brasiliensis (rubber tree)
Lineage: Eukaryota; Viridiplantae; Streptophyta; Magnoliopsida; Malpighiales; Euphorbiaceae
Source: RNAcentral
AAAAUCCAUAGCUAAACUAAACAUUGAAAGAAAAGGGAGGAAAUGUUAACAGCACCUUCACUUUCCCGCUUUAAGUCUCCAUUUAUCAGCUCACCUCUUAAGCUUCCUACUCUUUCUUCUUCUUUUUUCACUCAGAAAUUUCAUCAAACAUGUCGUAGGCGAAAUUCGUACCCAUGUAUUAAAGCUGUGGAUCUUGAUCAAAACACGGUGAUAGCAAUUACAGUUGGGGUGCUCAGUGUUGCUAUUGGAGUUGGAAUUCCAGUUUUUUAUGAGACCCAAAUUGAUAAUGCUGCAAAAAGAGAGAACACUCAGCCCUGCUUCCCCUGCACUGGCACUGGUGCUCAGAAAUGCAGAUUUUGCAUGGGUACUGGCAGUGUGACGGUGGAGCUUGGAGGGGGUGAGACAGAAGUCUCUCGGUGCAUCAAUUGUGACGGUGCUGGUGGUUUGACUUGCACAACAUGUCAAGGCAGUGGCAUUCAACCUCGGUACCUUGAUCGCAGGGAAUUCAAGGACGAUGAUUAGAUAUGGAAGAAUACUCAGCAUGGAUGCCACAACUUGUUUAUUGUCUAGAAGACCUGUCAUUUUGACCUGAAUAUAUUGACACAAAAUUCUGUAAAAUUCAUUUAUGUUCAUCCCCUCUCUGCCUUUCUCAGUUUCCACAUAUUCCUUUCACCUUCUGUUCUUACAUGUAAUCUUUAACAAGUUGAGCAAUACAUGAUUUCAAUACCA